GUGAAGGUGGCUCAGUGGUAAAGUGCUUGCCUUGCAAGCAUGAGGCCCUGGGUUCGAUUCUUCACCACCACA
Molecule: transfer RNA, 72 nt
Filed under: Dipodomys ordii (Ord's kangaroo rat)
Lineage: Eukaryota; Metazoa; Chordata; Mammalia; Rodentia; Heteromyidae
Rfam family: tRNA
About the family: Transfer RNA (tRNA) molecules are approximately 80 nucleotides in length. Their secondary structure includes four short double-helical elements and three loops (D, anti-codon, and T loops). Further hydrogen bonds mediate the characteristic L-shaped molecular structure. tRNAs have two regions of fundamental functional importance: the anti-codon, which is responsible for specific mRNA codon recognition, and the 3' end, to which the tRNAs corresponding amino acid is attached (by aminoacyl-tRNA synthetases). tRNAs cope with the degeneracy of the genetic code in two manners: having more than one tRNA (with a specific anti-codon) for a particular amino acid; and 'wobble' base-pairing, i.e. permitting non-standard base-pairing at the 3rd anti-codon position.
Source: Rfam by way of RNAcentral